Molecule: ribosomal RNA, 250 nt
Filed under: uncultured bacterium
Lineage: Bacteria
Description: partial 16S ribosomal RNA
Rfam family: Bacterial small subunit ribosomal RNA
Source: RNAcentral
UACGGAGGGUGCAAGCGUUAUCCGGAUUCACUGGGUUUAAAGGGUGCGUAGGUGGGUAGGUAAGUCAGUGGUGAAAUCUCCAAGCUUAACUUGGAAACUGCCAUUGAUACUAUUUAUCUUGAAUUUUCUGGAGGUGAGCGGAAUAUGUCAUGUAGCGGUGAAAUGCUUAGAUAUGACAUAGAACACCAAUUGCGAAGGCAGCUCACUACGGGAAUAUUGACACUGAGGCACGAAAGCGUGGGGAUCAAAC